Molecule: RNA transcript, 1443 nt
Organism: Xiphophorus maculatus (southern platyfish)
Lineage: Eukaryota; Metazoa; Chordata; Actinopteri; Cyprinodontiformes; Poeciliidae
Exons: 6
Source: RefSeq, a predicted model, not a curated record
GAAAGACUUCAGUGGUGUAAACAAGACUUCUCCUCAAGAUGCAAGAACUGGUUGCUUUGAUUCUUCUCAGUACUGUUUGUAUUAUAGAAACUACAGAAGUUCCUCAUUUGAUCUCCACAACUGAGAGUAAACCUGGUGAUAAUGUUACUUUUUCCUGUAAAUCGCCUACGGAUCACAGAUUCAGUCAGUGGUAUAAACAGUCUCCUGGAAAGAUGCUCCAAACAAUUGCUACAGGAGUUUAUAAAGCAAUUACAAAAACGGAGACAUUCAAUAAUACUCGUUUCCAAUUUCAUAGAGAAAACAAUGAGAUGUUUCUUACCAUACAUUCAGUUAAAAAAGAAGAUGAAGCUGUAUACUUCUGCCAGAGUGGAACUGAAUUUUUACUAACUGUUCAUAAUGGAUUCCUCUUGGAUGUAAAGGACUGUAAUCAACAGAUAUCUGUCUAUGUGGAACAAACUCCAGAGGCUGCAGCGGUCCAGCCAGGAGACACCACGACUCUCCAGUGUUCCCUUUUUUCAACGAACAGUGAAACAAGACCUCAGUGUCCAGAAGAAAACUUUGUUCACUGGUUUAAAUCUGGAUCUGGAAGCUCUUAUCCAAAUAUCAUUUACACUGCAAGAAAUAGCACAGACGAUGCAGCGAAGAGAAGCUGUGUCUACCGCCUCUCAAAAACAUUAGAGAACUCCGCUGAUUUUGGAACUUACUACUGUGCUGUGGCCAUUUGUGGAGAAAUACUGCUAGGUGAUGGAAGUAAACUGGAAACCAAACAGAACAAGACUCAAGUGUUCUUGUACUUGGGGGACUGUUGGGGUGCUGUGUGGUUGUGAUUAUCAGCCUUAUCUUCUACAUAAUUGGAAGGAGAGUUUCCGACAGUUCUAAAGCAAUAGGAGGAUCACAUCAUGCUGAACUUGAAACUUCAACUAUUUAUCAAACAAGGAACUUGGACAAAGAAGAGAAUUUGACCUAUGCAGAGGCACUGAAUUUCUCUGCAACAAAUGUGAGAAACUGCAAGAAAGUGAACACAGAAUGUAUGUAUUCUUCUGUUAGAGCAAAGUCACAAAAACAGCAGCAGCUCUGAUGAGAGCCGCAGUAUUUGCAUCAGUCCCCCAAAAGCAGAUUAAAAGAUUAGUCAAGCGCCAAAGAUUUUUGGCGCAAUCUUUAAAAUUUUUAAGGAUGUUUGUUUAUUUCUUUGUGCAAGAUAUUUCAUGCCUGCUCAUGUCAACUUGCCAGUUUUUGAAUAUGUUCAUUCUUAUAUUUAAGACCUUCAGCUCACUGAAAACACAAUUGUUUGAUAUUAACGGGUUAUUUUAGUUAUCACUUGGUGUUAAUAAAAUACAACGUCUUUGAAAGAUGAAAAGAAAGCAGUUUGUCAGGGAAACUUGUGAUCUUUUAAAAAUAAUAAAUAUUUAGAAAGUUCUGAUUCAACAAUUACAAAACAAUAAA